RNAcentral lists this ribosomal RNA (708 nucleotides) under uncultured Staphylococcus sp. Its description in RNAcentral is "bacterial SSU rRNA". It matches the Rfam family "Bacterial small subunit ribosomal RNA", at positions 65 to 755 of the family's 1533-position model. The record is from RNAcentral. Lineage: Bacteria; Bacillati; Bacillota; Bacilli; Caryophanales; Staphylococcaceae.
AGCGAACAGACGAGGAGCUUACUCCUCUGACGUUAGCGGCGGACGGGUGAGUAACACGUGGAUAACCUACCUAUAAGACUGGGAUAACUUCGGGAAACCGGAGCUAAUACCGGAUAACAUGUUGAACCGCAUGGUUCAACAGUGAAAGACGGUCUUGCUAUCACUUAUAGAUGGAUCCGCGUCGCAUUAGCUAGUUGGUAAGGUAACGGCUUACCAAGGCAACGAUGCGUAGCCGACCUGAGAGGGUGAUCGGCCACACUGGAACCGAGACACGGUCCAGACUCCUACGGGAGGCAGCAGUAGGGAAUCUUCCGCAAUGGGCGAAAGCCUGACGGGGCAACGCCGCGUGAGUGAAGAAGGUCUUCGGAUCGUAAAACUCUGUUAUUAGGGAAGAACAAAUGUGUAAGUAACUAUGCACGUCUUGACGGUACCUAAUCAGAAAGCCACAGCUAACUACGUGCCAGCAGCCGCGGUAAUACGUAGGUGGCAAGCGUUAUCCGGAAUUAUUGGGCGUAAAGCGCGCGUAGGCGGUUUUUUAAGUCUGAUGUGAAAGCCCACGGCUCAACCGUGGAGGGUCAUUGGAAACUGGAAAACUUGAGUGCAGAAGAGGAAAGUGGAAUUCCAUGUGUAGCGGUGAAAUGCGCAGAGAUAUGGAGGAACACCAGUGGCGAAGGCGACUUUCUGGUCUGUAACUGACGCUGAUGUGCG